This 671-nucleotide ribosomal RNA is filed under the name Phytophthora infestans (potato late blight agent). RNAcentral describes it as "eukaryotic LSU rRNA". The stretch from base 66 to 220 matches the Rfam family "5.8S ribosomal RNA". The record is from RNAcentral. Lineage: Eukaryota; Oomycota; Peronosporomycetes; Peronosporales; Peronosporaceae.
UUAAACCCUUUACUUAAUACUGAUUAUACUGUGGGGACGAAAGUCUCUGCUUUUAACUAGAUAGCAACUUUCAGCAGUGGAUGUCUAGGCUCGCACAUCGAUGAAGAACGCUGCGAACUGCGAUACGUAAUGCGAAUUGCAGGAUUCAGUGAGUCAUCGAAAUUUUGAACGCAUAUUGCACUUCCGGGUUAGUCCUGGAAGUAUGCCUGUAUCAGUGUCCGUACAACAAACUUGGCUUUCUUCCUUCCGUGUAGUCGGUGGAGGAGAUGCCAGAUGUGAAGUGUCUUGCGGUUGGUUUUCGGACCGACUGCGAGUCCUUUUAAAUGUACUAAACUGUACUUCUCUUUGCUCCAAAAGUGGUGGCAUUGCUGGUUGUGGACGCUGCUAUUGUAGCGAGUUGGCGACCGGUUUGUCUGCUGCGGCGUUAAUGGAGAAAUGCUCGAUUCGUGGUAUGGUUGGCUUCGGCUGAACAAUGCGCUUAUUGGGUGAUUUUCCUGCUGUGGCGUGAUGGACUGGUGAACCAUGGCUCUUUAGCUUGGCAUUUGAAUCGGCUUUGCUGUUGCGAAGUAGAGUGGCGGCUUCGGCUGCCGAGGGUCGAUCCAUUUGGGAAAUGUUGUGUACUUCGGUAUGCAUCUCAAUUGGACCUGAUAUCAGGCAAGAUUACCCGCUGA